GGAAUCUUCGGCAAUGGGGGCAACCCUGACCGAGCAACGCCGCGUGAGUGAAGAAGAUUUUCGGAUCGUAAAGCUCUGUUGUAAGAGAAGAACGUGUGUGAGAGUGGAAAGUUCACACAGUGACGGUAACUUACCAGAAAGGGACGGCUAACUACGUGCCAG
Molecule: ribosomal RNA, 162 nt
Filed under: uncultured bacterium
Lineage: Bacteria
Description: partial 16S rRNA
Rfam family: Bacterial small subunit ribosomal RNA
Source: RNAcentral